AGAGUUUGAUCCUGGACUCAGAACGAACGCUGGCGGCAUGCCUAACACAUGCAAGUCGAACGAGACCUUCGGGUCUAGUGGCGCACGGGUGCGUAACGCGUGGGAACCUGCCUUAGGUUCGGAAUAACUCAGAGAAAUUUGAGCUAAUACCGGAUAAUGUCUUCGGACCAAAGAUUUAUCGCCUUUAGAUGGGCCCGCGUAAGAUUAGCUAGUUGGUGGGGUAAAGGCCUACCAAGGCGACGAUCUUUAGCUGGUCUGAGAGGAUGAUCAGCCACACUGGGACUGAGACACGGCCCAGACUCCUACGGGAGGCAGCAGUGGGGAAUAUUGGACAAUGGGCGAAAGCCUGAUCCAGCAAUGCCGCGUGAGUGAUGAAGGCCUUAGGGUUGUAAAGCUCUUUUACCCGAGAUGAUAAUGACAGUAUCGGGAGAAUAAGCUCCGGCUAACUCCGUG
Molecule: ribosomal RNA, 453 nt
Filed under: uncultured bacterium
Lineage: Bacteria
Description: bacterial SSU rRNA
Rfam family: Bacterial small subunit ribosomal RNA
Source: RNAcentral